GAUCAAGCGCGAGAAGGGCGUUUGGUGGAUGCCUUGGCAGUAAGAGGCGAUGAAGGACGUGAUACUCUGCGAUAAGCCGGGGGAAGCCGAGAAUAGGCUCUGAUCCCCGGAUCUCCGAAUGGGGCAACCCACCUGACAGUUCGAUAUAAUUGCCGCAAGGCAGCUUAUAUCUUGCUGAGACAGGUACUCAUCAUCUGAAUACAUAGGAUUUUGAGAGCAAACCCGGGGAACUGAAACAUCUAAGUACCCGGAGGAAAGGACAUCAAUAGAGACUCCGCUAGUAGUGGCGAGCGAACGCGGACCAGCCGAGCCCAAGACGUGACCAGAAACAGCUGGAAAGCUGUGCCAGAGCGGGUGACAGCCCCGUAUGGGAAGCGUUGCGGGACGUAUCAAGUAGGGCGGGACACGUGAAAUCCUGUCCGAAGAUCGGAGGACCACCUCCGAAGGCUAAGUACUCCUUACUGACCGAUAGCGAACCAGUACCGUGAGGGAAAGGUGAAAAGCACCCCGACGAGGGGAGUGAAACAGUACCUGAAACCGAGCGCCUACAAGCAGUCGGAGCUUGACUGGACUCUUAUAU
Molecule: non-coding RNA, 580 nt
Filed under: Roseivivax halodurans JCM 10272
Lineage: Bacteria; Pseudomonadati; Pseudomonadota; Alphaproteobacteria; Rhodobacterales; Roseobacteraceae
Description: Bacterial large subunit ribosomal RNA
Rfam family: Bacterial large subunit ribosomal RNA
Source: Rfam by way of RNAcentral